AGUCUGAGACCUGAUGCCGAGCCGAUUGUGGUGAAGUGGAUGAUCCUAUGCUGUCGAGAAAAGCCUCUAGCGAGUUUCAUGGCGGCCCGUACCCUAAACCGACUCAGGUGGUCAGGUAGAGAAUACCGAGGCGUUCGGGUGAACUAUGGUUAAGGAACUCGGCAAAAUGCCCCCGUAACUUCGGGAGAAGGGGGGCCAUCACUGGUGAU
This 209-nucleotide ribosomal RNA is filed under the name Streptomyces sp. NRRL F-2295. RNAcentral's name for it is "partial 23S ribosomal RNA". It matches the Rfam family "Bacterial large subunit ribosomal RNA", at positions 1553 to 1764 of the family's 2925-position model. Lineage: Bacteria; Bacillati; Actinomycetota; Actinomycetes; Kitasatosporales; Streptomycetaceae. The record is from RNAcentral.